Molecule: long non-coding RNA, 1961 nt
Organism: Seriola aureovittata
Lineage: Eukaryota; Metazoa; Chordata; Actinopteri; Carangiformes; Carangidae
Exons: 3
Source: RefSeq, a predicted model, not a curated record
ACUCUCAUGGUGUUUGUGGCUUAAAUACUCAGCUUACCUGGUCGAAGUAGAGCUGUGAUACUGGGCGUGAAGACUUCUUUAGAGAGAGUCGCCUUGGUCCCAGGCUGCAGACAGGACAGGAAGCCCCGACCUCUUCCCGCUUGAACCUUGUGUUUGAGGCGACAGGUGACUCAGGUGACAGGUGACAAGGCGGGAACAUCCACAAGGAGAACAGGCCAAGGUGGUUAUUCCUCCACAACACCGUCCUGAAGACACGGUCGCUUGCAGACCUCAGAUCAGACCAUGGUCUCCGAUGAAGAAUCUUCUGCCUCAUCUUUAUCUAACGUCGCGAAAAGGACAGCUUCAUACAUGGCUGACGGUGGAGGAGUUGGCUGUGAUUGGUUUUUCUCCUGUGAUGAACACAGUGUAUGGUCUACCACAUUUUCAAAAUAACAGGAAACUCAUUCCACUGAUGAAAAACUGCUUCAAAGCUCCUGUACUUUGAUGACACCUUGUAAUAUUAGCGCUCGCCUCGUUUGCUGAACUUCAGUUCAGCGUGGCACUUUUUUCCAAAGGAGAUACCACUUGCCCCCAGUGCUUGCUGCUUUUCUGCGAUUAGUUCAGGUACUAGAACCCUCCAGGCAGAUACUUUGCCUGAAGGGUUUGUUAAGAGCAGGCUUUUGUGGCUUUGUUGUUAAUUAGGUUGCUUGUUUUGUGUACUGGUGAAAAUAACACUUGAAUUGUUUGCAUCCAUGUCUGUUUGCUGCCACUCUAGAUACACAAGUGUUCGACUACGUCUAUUUACUGAGAAGUAGUAAGUGUUCAUUUGAAAAAUAGGGAAGUGUAAUCAACUCGGUGGAAAACUUAAUGAAAUAGUCCAUUAAUAAUAAGUAACCAAUGAUAUAUAAAUGUAAAUGUUAUGGUAGUAUAAAGACAGAUAAUAAAUUAACUAGCAGUACCAACUAUUACUGUGCUGUGCCCUCUAGUGGCCAAAGAGAUGUACACUGUGUCAUUAGUUUGAUUCAAUUGAAGGUGGUGAUUUAAAAGGUCCCGAAUCAAAGAAAGAUGAGAACAAUCCAAACAAUAGUUAAAUUCAGCUGCUGGUCUUAACUCUGCAGUACUGCGUCAGUUACAGCAGCAAUAUUUGGUAGCUUUAAAGUUUGUCAAAUCCUGUUAUAAAAUUUGCAGAAAACAAACAAUUAAAAAAACUCUUCUUCAGGCUGCUUUUGUGAAGGAAAUGUUUAUAGUGAAGGACGUGCUUUAGCUAAUGUUGUAGUUUCCAACAGUUCCCAUUAAAUCUCACUAAAGAGUCAAAAUUUACUGAUUGCACCUUUAAAGGAGUUAUUUGUAAGUUUUGCUAUUGCUACAUAGCUAACAUUAGCAUUAGCAGCUGCUUACUUACCAGUCUGGAGGAAACGUGGUGAGUUCAGCAUCAAACUUCCUUCCUUUGUUCACCAACAUCUGUCUCCAGAGGUGGAAAACAAACACCAAUGUUAACUCUUGUCUCUGUCACGUCUUUUUUUCUACUGACGUAAGCAUGCUAACCAGCUAGCCCCGGCCCGUCUUGUCACUUUCUGACAGCGAUUCACUGUAGCUUCCAGUCUGUCCUGAACACGUAGCUGCACAGAGGACGUAUUAUAACUUCUUUUCUUGUAAACGCAACGAUGGCUGAAGCUCUUCUCAAGCUACAAUCACCACCACCCGCUGCCAGCAGCAAACCAUAUUCAUCGACAGAAAGAAUAUACAGAUAUCCCCUUAAGUGGCGCCUCCAUUUUGGUUUAGGGUUUUAAGGCUUUAACCUCAGAGAGUUCAGCCCUGUGACCACUGAGUACAGCUUUACCCAACACCUGGUGGUAUUACACUGAGAGCAAUUUAUUUACUCAAAAUUAAUUUGUCCUGAAUCGGUGACUCAUUGGACGUCCUGUUCGUUUAGAGCUACUACUGUGUAACAAUGAUGUUCAGGAUUUAAAUCUGAGCUUGGA